GAUGAACGCUGGCGGCGUGCCUAAUACAUGCAAGUCGAGCGAACGGACGAGAAGCUUGCUUUUCUGAUGUUAGCGGCGGACGGGUGAGUAACACGUGGAUAACCUACCUAUAAGACUGGGAUAACUUCGGGAAACCGGCGCUAAUACCGGAUAAUAUUUUGAACCGCAUGGUUCAAAAGUGAAAGACGGUCUUGCUGUCACUUAUAGAUGGAUACGCGCUGCAUUAGCUAGUUGGUAAGGUAACGGCUUACCAAGGCAACGAUGCAUAGCCGACCUGAGAGGGUGAUCGGCCACACUGGAACUGAGACACGGUCCAGACUCCUACGGGAGGCAGCAGUAGGGAAUCUUCCGCAAUGGGCGAGAGCCUGACGGAGCAACGGCGCGUGAGUGAUAAAGGUCUUCGGAGCGUAAAACUCUGUUAUGAGGUAAGAACAGAUGUGUAAGUAACUGUGCACAGCUUGACGGUACCUAAUCAGAAAGCCACGGCUAACUACGUG
RNAcentral lists this ribosomal RNA (497 nucleotides) under uncultured bacterium. RNAcentral describes it as "partial 16S ribosomal RNA". It matches the Rfam family "Bacterial small subunit ribosomal RNA", at positions 28 to 507 of the family's 1533-position model. The record is from RNAcentral.